RNAcentral lists this ribosomal RNA (466 nucleotides) under uncultured bacterium. RNAcentral's name for it is "partial 16S ribosomal RNA". It matches the Rfam family "Bacterial small subunit ribosomal RNA", at positions 29 to 507 of the family's 1533-position model. The record is from RNAcentral.
AUGAACGCUGGCGGCGUGCUUAACACAUGCAAGUCGAACGGUGAAGGCGGAGCUUGCUCUGCUGGAUCAGUGGCGAACGGGUGAGUAACACGUGAGCAAUCUGCCCCUGACUCUGGGAUAAGCGCUGGAAACGGCGUCUAAUACUGGAUACGAGCUGCAAGGCAUCUUCAGCAGCUGGAAAGAAUUUCGGUCAGGGAUGAGCUCGCGGCCUAUCAGCUUGUUGGUGAGGUAAUGGCUCACCAAGGCGUCGACGGGUAGCCGGCCUGAGAGGGUGACCGGCCACACUGGGACUGAGACACGGCCCAGACUCCUACGGGAGGCAGCAGUGGGGAAUAUUGCACAAUGGGCGAAAGCCUGAUGCAGCAACGCCGCGUGAGGGACGACGGCCUUCGGGUUGUAAACCUCUUUUAGCAGGGAAGAAGCGAAAGUGACGGUACCUGCAGAAAAAGCGCCGGCUAACUACGUG